RNAcentral lists this small nuclear RNA (62 nucleotides) under Pongo abelii (Sumatran orangutan). RNAcentral's name for it is "U7 small nuclear RNA (ENSPPYG00000039287.1)". It matches the Rfam family "U7 small nuclear RNA". From Rfam's summary of the family: Animal histone pre-mRNAs are spliced by a different mechanism than nuclear pre-mRNAs and self-splicing introns. The record is from Rfam by way of RNAcentral. Lineage: Eukaryota; Metazoa; Chordata; Mammalia; Primates; Hominidae.
UAGGGUUACAGCUCUUUUAGAAUUUGUCUAGCAGAUUUUCCAUUUAAAAAAAAAAAUACAAA